AGCAUGGAAAGCAUUUGUGUAGUUCCGGCGCUGAGCAGCAGGCAAAGUAGCAUCAGCUUGCAUACGAAUGAGUGCUAAAUCUGCUGGACUUCCAACAGAUGCUCCAAUGGCACCAGCGGUUAGCCCACACAAGGCUUUCUGGUAUAGAGGUAGGGGCUUCCCAUCAUUGGCCUCAAUUGCUUUGUUUGUCAGAAUCCUAAACAGGUUUAUCAAAUUCAGAUUAACAAGAUGAUAAAACAACAAUUUACAUAUAAAUCAUCAUGUGAUACUUAAAAAGAUCUACAAAACCAAACUAAACAAAAGCAAAUCUAUCACUAAAACAAUUCAAAUGCUUUCAAAAGCUCACUUAAAGUCUGGAUUUUGCAAAAGACUCACCUGAAUGAUCCAAGACGAGCUGUGGUAUAUGUAGCUUGUCUUAGUAGUCCAGCAGAGAGUCCCUGCUCAUAGAAUUUCAGUUUAGAUAAACUAUCAUUUUAACACGUAAACUCAAGUCAAUCAAUCAGCACAUACAACAUCAAGAACUUUAAGUCAAUAAAAAACAUUCUUCUACAUUCCGAACCUCAAAUCUGACAAUACCAUAAAUUGCAUUAGGAUUCGGGAAUCAGAGAGAAAGGGUUUGGAAUACAAUUUUAAGUUUAAAUUGGUUGGAUGUGAUAUGAAAGACAACACUUUUUAGUCAAAUACAUGGAUGAACUAAAACUUCAGUAGAUAUAACGCCUUGGUAAAAUGUGUGAUUCGAAAGCCUAUAUCAAGUGAUCAUUCUGAAAGAACUUAUCUUUAACAAAUCUUUACCGGUACAAAUUCAAAUCUAAACACCUUACAAGCAUCACUUGAUUUGAAAUAUCAUUCAACACUGGAUCAACAAGAUAUAUGAAAAGUACUCAAAUUCUAAUCACAUUUUAAGAAGUAUACCUUAUACAAAGCACCAACACCUUCCUCUUUAAUCAUGGUCCUGGUGACCUGGGCAGCUGAUCCCUGACCCAAUUGAAUUCUCACCUGUACCAGCCAAGAUAACAAGAACCCAGAAAGCAUGAGUUCCAAUUAACCAAAUUAUAGUACAAAUCAAAACAAAAACUUUCAGAAAAAUAAAAAAAAACUAAAAAAUCCCAGAUCUAAAAAUCAUCAAGGAACCCCGAUUUCAGCUCAAAAAUUGAAGUGGAAAUCAAUAAAAACGAAAGCAAAAAAACAUGGGUUCAAUCCAAAUCUCAAAAAUGUAAAAAAAGAUUCAAACUUUAACAGUCCAAAAACUCACCUUGAUCAUAUCGAUUGGCUGGAUGACACAGGUAGCAAGCAUACCAGAGGCUCCGCCAUUGACGAAGGGCUUAAUGGUUGGCCAAACACCAGAUUUGGGCGUACCUUUGUCUCCCAUAAUUUGGAUUGGAAAUGAAGAAGUGAGGAGCUCGAAGAAGGGAGAGAAAGGGCGGAGGCUGCU
RNAcentral lists this long non-coding RNA (1432 nucleotides) under Malus domestica (apple). RNAcentral describes it as "long non-coding RNA (MDOM_LNC009800)". Lineage: Eukaryota; Viridiplantae; Streptophyta; Magnoliopsida; Rosales; Rosaceae. The record is from RNAcentral.